Cydia splendana is the source of this 3325-nucleotide long non-coding RNA. RefSeq lists it as uncharacterized. Lineage: Eukaryota; Metazoa; Arthropoda; Insecta; Lepidoptera; Tortricidae. The transcript is spliced from 4 exons. The record is from RefSeq and is a predicted model, not a curated record.
GGUGGAUUUGCCAAUGUCGGUGUUGACUUUCACACGUGAGGAGAAUGUUCGGUAUAAUAAUUUUGCAUUUUUGGGAGGAUGUAGUCGGGGAAACCUAAAAACAAAUAAUUGUUAUGAACAUCACAGACAAACACAUGACGAAUACAACGAUUAGCAAAAAAGCGGGAAGCGGAUGACAGAACGUUAGUAGUGCCAACAUGAAGGAAGUGGAAGAGAAGAAAACGAUAUAUAUAAUAUAGAAAUAUAGAGUUUAGAAUAAAACGAGUAUAGAUUGACAUGAAUUAUACGCAUUAAAUUAGAAGAGAUAAGACAAUAUUUAGAGUUUUAUGUUAUUUGUUUGUAAAUAUUUAAUUAGAAUAGAAGUUAGCUUAGUAUCCAUGUGGCAAAGAAGCGAGCUAAAGCAUAUAGGUCGUGGAACAUUUUCGGGUAGUACAUCGUAUAGUGAGUAGCUACAUUUUGUACAAGCAAAGAAGAUGUGGUCCAAGUUGCCCUCAUCCAACCCACAUUCACACAAUGAGUUCGCACGGACACCAAUCAUAGCCAGAAAUAACGGAGUACAUACUUUGCCUAAGCGUAAACGGCAAAUGGUGGAUAUUACCCACUUUGGAGAAGUACGGAAUCGAUAGAACCAUGGUUUUCGAGUAAUUCGAGGUUGUACACAGCCAUAAUGUUUACCAGUCUCCAAUCUAGAGAUAUCCCAUUGCCUCUGCCAUGUAUUAAACAUAUCAGAUAGUGCACAACUCAACAGGUCAGUACUGUAAGUUUCCCGUUUUAUUGAACCAAUCUCAAUCGCCCGUUUUGCCCAUAUAUCAGCCACCUCAUUGCCUCUAAUACCACAGUGGCUUGGAACCCAUCCGAGAACAAUAUGUAGGCCCCUCGAUUCACACCUACGUAGCACAGCUUUAAUUUCAAGAAUCAAAGGAAAUUUGGCUUUAAAUUUUAAUUGAUUGCCUACUAUUGCCUGCAGGCAACUCCUACUGUCAGAAAAGAUAAUUGUUUUUUUAAUGUUAUGUGUGUCUGCAUAUUUGACAGCCUCAAGAAUAGCAACUGCCUCACCUGUGAAAAUGGACGCUUGAGGAGGACAUUUAAAUGGAAGGACGAUAUUGUACCGUGGAAUCCACACCGCUGCUCCCACACAUCUUGCAGGAUCCACCUUAGAAGCGUCAGUAAAAACCGUGACCUCCAGUGCCAGCGCCUGCAAGCGUGGGAGCAGCAAGUGGUUGUUGUAAGAGCUGGCUUUGAUCAAGAACCUGUCGGCGAGGUAUUGUCUGCGUAGAGCCAACGGCGGUUCAACACCUUCCACCUGCAUGCCAUUUUUGGGAGAGGGAAGCAUAGCACCUAGUAUGAUCCUUAAACAUUUAGCCUGUAUAAGAUCUAAUUUAUCUAGACCAUCCUUAUUACAGGGUUCCAUUAAAAAUGCCCCAUAGUCUAUAUGGCUACGUAUGAUGGCAUUGUAUAGUAGCUUCUGGCAAUAAGGAUGGGAACCCCACCAGACACCCGACAAUGCUCGAAGAAUAUUAAUAUUUUUCUCACAUUUACCCAGUACAUAUUUGUGGUGUGAGGUGCCAGACAUUUUAUGAUCUAAAAUAACACCUAGAAAUUUUACUGACUCUUUAUUUGGAAUCAUCACACCACCAUAACGGACAUCUGCGUCAGGCAUGGUCCUUCUGCGACUGAAAGUCACUACACAGCUUUUUGUUGGCGAUAGGGUCAAACCAUGUUCAUCAAGCCAAUCCUUGAGGUAACCCAAAGCUGUAUUAAGACUAGCAGUGGCUUUGUCCAUUGACUUUGCUGAGGUGUAUAAGACUAGGUCAUCAGCAUACUGCAAGAUAUUACAGAAGGAUAGGACAGAUUGCUCCAAGUCGUAGGUGUAGAUACUGUAAAGCAGGGGGCUGAGUACCGAUCCUUGCGGGAGACCACGCCACAAAGUUCGAGGUGGGUAAUAGGAAUUACCAUUCCUAAUUUUAAUUGACCUACCCAUGAACAAUUUGGUGACAAUAUGUACAAUCUUCGCGGGAAUGCUCAGAUGUAGCAUUUUUGCCAUGAGCACCGGAAGAAGGACAUUGUCGUAGGCCGCAGAGAUAUCUAGAAAACAUCCCAGCAGAUAUUCGUUUUUUGAAAGGGUUAAGCAAUCGGGCGAUAUGAGCUAGCUUCGUCUGGGUUUUUAGACGGUUUUAGGAUUGGGAUAAUAACUUGGGUCUUCCAGUCAACUGGGAUCUCUCCCGUGUCAAAGGCAUGGUUUAGAAUACCGAGCAGAUACUCCUGUGAAGAUGAAUUGAGCUUAGACAGGAAACAGUAUGGUAUGCCAUCCUCUCCAGAGGUUCAGGGGACGGAAUUGGAAGAAUAGAAGAAGGCUUCGUGAUAAUAAUUGGGAAAUGGUCACUGCCGAACGACUGGCGUAAUACCCUCCAGGAUAAUAAAGAAGACAAACUAGGAGAACACACAGAUAGAUCGAGGACUGACUGGGGGUUCUGUCCUGGGUAUACCCGAUGCGUGGGAGUACCGUCAUUAAUAACUCCCACAUUGAUUUCAUCGAAUAAAUCCAACAGGGCUGAUGAAAAUGCAUCCGAAUGGUAUGACCCCCAUGACAUAUUGUGACAAUUGAAGUCCCCUAAAAUCAUAAGAGGAGGUGGAACCGAUUUGAGAAUAGAUUUUAAUUCAUAUAUAUCAACUACUUCAGGAUGGGGAAUGUAUAUAGAGAUGAAAUUAAUGCCCAUAACCUUGGCAGCUACGGCAUUAAUCCCAUCCGAAUGAGGGGGAAUAGAAAUUUGGGCGAAAGGGUAACCGCGUUUGAUGAACAACGCACAUCCGGCACGUCCAUCAUUGCGGUCUUCCCGGAGACAUGAGAAGCCCGGCACUCUGAAAAAGGAGCCGGGGCGUAACCAUGUCUCCGAAAUGGCCGCAACAGUCACAGCAUGAUUGUUGAUGAGCUGAAUAAGGUCAGGUUUCUUUGGUAUAAUGCUUCGACUAUUCCACUGAAGAAAUGUGACCGGGGGGGCCGUUAUGGAAUGUAAGUCUUUCCGCGAGUGUGAUCAUUAAGGGUGCAACGUCGUCUGGUAGGCAAUCGCUCCACUUAGCGAUUAUGUUUGUCAAGAAUUUUAGACAGAGCUCCAUUAGGUCUUCAUUAAGAGUGAUUCUAUUGUAAGCAGAAGAAUCUUUCAGAGCUUGGCCAUUGGGCAGUUGAGGUGGGGGAGUUCGGACAAUAUUGUUGUGAGCUACUCUAUCAUAACCGGGGGAGAGGGAGACCCUCGUCCGGGGCGCUCGAUAUACGGUCUUACGAUAUGAAGUGGUGGGCGGAGGGGUUGGCAUGAAAGUAUCAGGGUGG